RNAcentral lists this non-coding RNA (28 nucleotides) under Homo sapiens (human). The record is from RNAcentral. Lineage: Eukaryota; Metazoa; Chordata; Mammalia; Primates; Hominidae.
GGAUCUGCUCAGAGGUAGAAGAGGGUGU